UUGAACGCUGGCGGCAUGCUUUACACAUGCAAGUCACACGGCAGCGCGGGCUUCGGCCUGGCGGCGAGUGGCGAACGGGUGAGUAAUGCAUCGGAACGUGCCCAGUAGUGGGGGAUAGCCCGGCGAAAGCCGGAUUAAUACCGCAUACGACCUGAGGGUGAAAGCGGGGGACCGAAAGGCCUCGCGCUAUUGGAGCGGCCGAUGUCGGAUUAGCUAGUUGGUGGGGUAAAGGCUUACCAAGGCGACGAUCCGUAGCUGGUCUGAGAGGACGACCAGCCACACUGGGACUGAGACACGGCCCAGACUCCUACGGGAGGCAGCAGUGGGGAAUUUUGGACAAUGGGGGCAACCCUGAUCCAGCCAUGCCGCGUGCGGGAAGAAGGCCUUCGGGUUGUAAACCGCUUUUGUUCGGGAAGAAAUCCUCUGGGCUAAUACCCCGGGGGGAUGACGGUACCGGAAGAAUAAGCACCGGCUAACUACGUG
Molecule: ribosomal RNA, 483 nt
Filed under: uncultured bacterium
Lineage: Bacteria
Description: partial 16S ribosomal RNA
Rfam family: Bacterial small subunit ribosomal RNA
Source: RNAcentral